RNAcentral lists this ribosomal RNA (475 nucleotides) under uncultured bacterium. Its description in RNAcentral is "bacterial SSU rRNA". It matches the Rfam family "Bacterial small subunit ribosomal RNA", at positions 335 to 799 of the family's 1533-position model. The record is from RNAcentral.
ACUCCUACGGGAGGCAGCAGUGGGGAAUAUUGCACAAUGGGCGCAAGCCUGAUGCAGCCAUGCCGCGUGUAUGAAGAAGGCCUUCGGGUUGUAAAGUACUUUCAGCAGUGAGGAAGGCAGGUACGUUAAUAGCGUGCUUGUUUGACGUUAGCUGCAGAAGAAGCACCGGCUAACUCCGUGCCAGCAGCCGCGGUAAUACGGAGGGUGCGAGCGUUAAUCGGAAUUACUGGGCGUAAAGCGCAAUGCAGGUGGUUUGUUAAGUCAGAUGUGAAAGCCCGGGGCUCAACCUCGGAAUUGCAUUUGAAACUGGCAGACUAGAGUACUGUAGAGGGGGGUAGAAUUUCAGGUGUAGCGGUGAAAUGCGUAAGAGAUCUGAAGGAAUACCGGUGGCGAAGGCGGCCCCCUGGACAGAUACUGACACUCAGAUGCGAAAGCGUGGGGAGCAAACAGGAUUAGAUACCCUGGUAGGAUAGCG